UUAUAAAGUACGCAGCACUUUGUUUGCGAAUAAAUUAUGGUCACUUAUUGUUUUGUUCAUUCGUAAUGACAUUAUCUCAUUUUAUUAGCUUCAUUGAUAUUCGUUCGUAUAGCCGAGUAUAUUUGCGAUGAGGCAACACGAAACUAUACUCACUUUACAGACAUGAAGGUUUAAAUACUAAAUGCGUCAUAGAAUGAACGAAUACUUUCAUCUACUGUAGCUUACUCUUACUGUUAGUCUUACUAUACCAUUUGGUAAGUGCUGCCUUGCUUGAACAUCGAUUUUUUUCGAGCUGAUUUCAACUUCUAAAGUCGUUAAAAAUCCUAUUAAUCCCGAAAUGGUUGAAUUUCAAUGUUUACUUGAUACGCCCCCAUUUUCCUAAACGGAAAUUCAGUAGCUGUAAUCAAUCUGAUUUGGGUGAUUUUACUACCAAAGAGAAAAAACCGGUGGAGAAAAAAAGACAAAAAAAACUCCGGAUCAAUUCGACCGCAUUUUUCAUUGUGGCAUUUGACUGUCUAUAUUACAGUAAAUCUGCCAGAUUUUUCCAUUGAAGCCGUCUGCAACUGAAGCAUAAUAUUCCAUCACCCGGCUGCAAAAUGAGGACUGCUUCCAGACUGUGCCAGACAUUACUAAGACGGAACAGCACGCUAGGUUACAAACAGGCUAAUUCCUUGCAAUUAAAACGAGCAUAUCACGAGGGCAACUUGAAGACUAAUAUCAAUGGCGGCAUAGCCUCUCAACCCAACCAGAAUCUGGGCGCCCUCGUUCCAGAGGCAGUCAUUUUCCCCGGAAUGAUUCUGCUGGGCGGAUGGGUUGGCAAAGAGAUCGCCUCAUUUUUAGAAGAGUACGACUAUUUUGUAUUCACAGAUGAUGAUGAUGAUUAAAUUUUGCAAUUCUUCUUCUAACAAUUGGGCAGUUAGAUUCUAUUUUCUAACGUUUCUAUCUCUAUUUUCAUAUUUCGAUGUUCAUAUCAUUUCAAAGUUAAUAUUUUAAAACUAUUAAAUGAAAAAUAUGCGUUAAUGAAAAA
Long non-coding RNA from Symsagittifera roscoffensis, 1027 nucleotides. RefSeq lists it as uncharacterized. NCBI's taxonomy places the organism in Eukaryota, Metazoa, Xenacoelomorpha, Acoela, Convolutidae. The record is from RefSeq and is a predicted model, not a curated record. The transcript has 3 exons.